GACGAACGCUGGCGGCGUGCUUAACACAUGCAAGUCGAACGGAAAGGCCCUGCUUUUGUGGGGUGCUCGAGUGGCGAACGGGUGAGUAACACGUGAGUAACCUGCCCUUGACUUUGGGAUAACUUCAGGAAACUGGGGCUAAUACCGGAUAGGAGCUCCUGCUGCAUGGUGGGGGUUGGAAAGUUUCGGCGGUUGGGGCUGGACUCGCGGGUUAUCAGCUUGUUGGUGGGGUAGUGGCUUACAAAGGCUUUGACGGGUAGCCGGCCUGGGAGGGUGACCGGCCACAUUGGGACUGCGGGAGGGCCCAGACGCCUACGGGAGGCAGCAGUGGGGAAUAUUGCACAAUGGGCGGAAGCCUGAUGCAGCAACGCCGCGUGCGGGAUGACGGCCUUCGGGUUGUAAACCGCUUUCGCCUGUGACGAAGCGUGAGUGACGGUAAUGGGUAAAGAAGCACCGGCUAACUACGUG
RNAcentral lists this ribosomal RNA (468 nucleotides) under uncultured bacterium. Its description in RNAcentral is "partial 16S ribosomal RNA". It matches the Rfam family "Bacterial small subunit ribosomal RNA", at positions 28 to 507 of the family's 1533-position model. The record is from RNAcentral.